AUGAACGUUUGCGGCGUGCCUUAUGCAUGCAAGUCGAACGGUUCAACAAGCCGAAAGGUUUGUAGGAUAGUGGCGAACGGCUGAGUAAUACGUAAGUAACCUACCUUCAAGUGGGGAAUAACCCAUCGAAAGGUGGGCUAAUACUGCAUAUGGUAAUUAAGCUGAGGCUUAGUUAUUAAAGCCUUAGGGCGCUUGAAGAGGGGCUUGCGUCCGAUUAGUUAGUUGGUGGGGUAAUGGCUCACCAAGGCGAUGAUCGGUAGCUG
Molecule: ribosomal RNA, 263 nt
Filed under: uncultured bacterium
Lineage: Bacteria
Description: partial 16S ribosomal RNA
Rfam family: Bacterial small subunit ribosomal RNA
Source: RNAcentral